UAGUAAUCUAGUAAUCGUGGAUCAGAAUGCCACGGUGAAUACGUUCCCGGGCCUUGUACACACCGCCCGUCACACCAUGGGAGUGGGUUGCAAAAGAAGUAGGUAGCUUAACCUUCGGGAGGGCGCUUACCACUUUGUGAUUCAUGACUGGGGUGAAGUCGUAACAAGGUAACCGUAGGGGAACCUGCGGUUGGAUCACCUCCUUA
Molecule: ribosomal RNA, 206 nt
Filed under: Salmonella enterica
Lineage: Bacteria; Pseudomonadati; Pseudomonadota; Gammaproteobacteria; Enterobacterales; Enterobacteriaceae
Description: partial 16S ribosomal RNA
Rfam family: Bacterial small subunit ribosomal RNA
Source: RNAcentral